Coregonus clupeaformis (lake whitefish) is the source of this 271-nucleotide long non-coding RNA. RefSeq lists it as uncharacterized. NCBI's taxonomy places the organism in Eukaryota, Metazoa, Chordata, Actinopteri, Salmoniformes, Salmonidae. The transcript has 3 exons. The record is from RefSeq and is a predicted model, not a curated record.
CUGGCUCCUGGCAGGGAAAAUAGUCUUCCUGGAGCGUGAGGCAGAGACAUGGAAGAGAUGGAGGAAGGUCUCUGUAGCUGAAUUGACUUGGGAUGCAAAGAGGGGCCUGGAAUUACAGGAAACAGAGACAGAGAGAGUUAUCCUGCUCAGUGGCCAGAGAGUUCAGGAUGAAUUAAGGAUACCAAAUGUCAUCGUGGACACUGCUACCGACGGAGACAUCCAGCUUCUGAAAGAGGAGCGUUGGAAGUUAACCCGAAAAUUCUAUGAUAUG